This 345-nucleotide unclassified non-coding RNA is filed under the name soil metagenome. RNAcentral's name for it is "partial contains 5.8S ribosomal RNA, internal transcribed spacer 2, and large subunit ribosomal RNA". The stretch from base 1 to 121 matches the Rfam family "5.8S ribosomal RNA", at positions 35 to 154 of the family's 154-position model. The record is from RNAcentral.
GAUGAAGAACGUAGCGAAAUGUGAUAAGUAAUGCGAAUUGCAGAAUUUCCGUGAGUCAUCGAAUCUUUGAACGCACAUUGCGCCCACUGGUAUUCCGGUGGGCAUGCCUGUUCGAGCGUCAUUAUCCUCCCUCAAACCCCGGGUUUGGUGUUGGACCCAAGUUGUGUGAACAACUGGUCUCAAAGACAAUGACGGCGUCCGUGGGACCCUCGGUGCAACGAGCUUUUAGGAGCACGCGCCGAGUUGCAAGGACCUUCCGGGCCGGUCUCCUUUACUAUUUUACAAGGUUGACCUCGGAUCAGGUAGGAAUACCCGCUGAACUUAAGCAUAUCAAUAAGCGGAGGA